UACGGGGGGUGCAAGCGUUGUUCGGAAUUACUGGGCGUAAAGGGCUCGUAGGCGGCUAGCUAAGUCGGAUGUGAAAUCCCCAGGCUUAACCUGGGAAGUGCAUCCGAUACUGGAUGGCUUGAAUCCGGGAGAGGGAUGCGGAAUUCCCGGUGUAGCGGUGAAAUGCGUAGAUAUCUGGAGGAACACCGGUGGCGAAGGCGGCGUCCUGGAUCGGCAUUGACGCUGAGGAGCGAAAGCCAGGGGAGCAAACGGG
This 253-nucleotide ribosomal RNA is filed under the name uncultured bacterium. RNAcentral's name for it is "partial 16S ribosomal RNA". It matches the Rfam family "Bacterial small subunit ribosomal RNA", at positions 524 to 776 of the family's 1533-position model. The record is from RNAcentral.